AACGAACGCUGGCGGGCAGGCUUAACACAUGCAAGUCGAACGGUUGUAGCAAUACAGCAGUGGCAGACGGGUGAGUAACGCGUGGGAACCUACCCUUCGGUACGGAAUAACUCAGGGAAACUUGUGCUAAUACCGUAUACGUCCUUCGGGAGAAAGAUUUAUCGCCGAUUGAGGGGCCCGCGUUGGAUUAGCUAGUUGGUGGGGUAAAGGCCUACCAAGGCGACGAUCCAUAGCUGGUCUGAGAGGAUGACCAGCCACACUGGGACUGAGACACGGCCCAGACUCCUACGGGAGGCAGCAGUGGGGAAUCUUGGACAAUGGGCGAAAGCCUGAUCCAGCCAUGCCGCGUGUGUGAUGAAGGCCUUAGGGUUGUAAAGCACUUUCGCCAGGGAAGAUAAUGACGGUACCUGGAUAAGAAGCCCCGGCUAACUCCGUG
RNAcentral lists this ribosomal RNA (436 nucleotides) under uncultured bacterium. RNAcentral describes it as "bacterial SSU rRNA". It matches the Rfam family "Bacterial small subunit ribosomal RNA", at positions 29 to 507 of the family's 1533-position model. The record is from RNAcentral.